RNAcentral lists this unclassified non-coding RNA (1811 nucleotides) under Thrips palmi. RNAcentral's name for it is "uncharacterized LOC117652822, transcript variant X1". The record is from RNAcentral. Lineage: Eukaryota; Metazoa; Arthropoda; Insecta; Thysanoptera; Thripidae.
GUUCAUGUUUAACUUGUAUUGAAGAAUUCACCACGUAUUGGAGGUUUCACCCUCUCUGCUGUUUUUGUAUUUUGUACUUUUUGUAUUUCUUGAAGCCCGUUCCACUUUCGCGGCCGAGAAGUUUCAUCCUGGUUCAUUCAAGAUGGAGAACCAGGUACCACCAAAUUUGUUAUUUCAAAUUUUCAGCUACCUGCCUGAAAGAGACCUCCUGCAUGUCCGAGGAGUGUGCAGGAGGUGGCGUAAAUUGGGAUCAAGCCCUAUAGUGUGGAGGGAGAGGGCAAUCGUCGAUGUCAUGCUAGAGAGAGAUCUCUUUGAGGCCGUACUUAGAGUGGCGCCAGUUGUGGCCACUAUUAGUUUGAAUUUGCCAGAAGGUAUGAUACCGGGCCUACUCACUACCUUCUGUGCUGCCAAGAGGCUGUCAUUUUCAGUGUGGAAUAACGUCGCCAUCGACUGUUGCCAAAUUCUGAGACGUCAGCUGGAACUGGGCAGCCUAGAAAGUAUCCACAUGCACAUGCAUGGGGAACCGAUGAGCUUUGCCCCCUUUAUGGAAAUGCUGCAGGGCACCAGGAUCAGGGAAAUAUCCUUGCAGAACUACAGGCCACCUAUUGGAGGUCAACUUCCGCCCAGCGCCCCUGUCAGCUCUUUAAAGGAGCUUCGCGCAGAUACUCGUAAACCAGAUAGGCAUGUCCAGUUCCUUUUAUUUUCUCACAGGAAAACCCUCCAGAUGGUUUCCCUGCCUCUCUGCAUACCCACUCCCAUGGCAAUCCUAUCUCUUGCAAGUGAGCUGCAACAGCUGGAAUGUCCCCCACAAGUGGAUAUGGAGCUUCUUUUGAAGUGCCCCAAGUUGAGGUCUGUAACCAUAAAGAUGGAGCGAAGGGGGACAGUCAUCGAAGAGAGGCAUGUUGAGCGCGCACGGAGUGCCAUCUCAGCGACUGCCCAGUUCCUAGCCAAGGCAACGCAGCUCCAUGAGUAUUCACUUUAUCCAGAGGAGACCUUUGAUUCUCGGGAGAGCUCUGAUUCUGAGGAGACCUCCGAUUCUGAGGAGACUUCUGGUUCUAAGGAGAAAGUGGUCAGGACUCUAACAAUGGCUCCAGUUGCAUGCAAUGACUCGGCAUUGGAGAAAGUGAAGCUCAACAUGUUGGCACAGGACGCAGGUUCAGAGCCUGUUGCGUUGUAACAGGCAUUUGCACAUUUUAGUAAAAUGUAAUAGUCAUUGCCAUGAAGAUCCCCCUUGCCGUUUUUGCAGAUCAGACUGCCACAACCAACUGAAGUCUAGACACAAUGACUUAGUAGGGAUAUUUGCCCAUCCCCCGAAUGUGUGCGAUCUAGAGGAACACCAAGGAAGUUACUUUUGGGUGAAGAUGUAAAUUAUAGCUUGAAGAUGUAAAUAUGUUGUUUCUAUUUGUUUUAAUUUUGGUAAAUGAUAUGAGGUUCUCUAGUUUGCACUAUAGUCUCUUAAGGUUUGUUGAAGCCUCUUGUGUUUAUUUGGAAUUGAGUAUUAUGAGAAUCGGUAUUACGUUUCAGUGUUGUUAAACAGUGAGACAUAAUAUUUUGAUUACCGAUACAUUUUGACUUUAAAUCAUUUUGUGAACAGACUUAGUGUAUUGAGGUUUGCAUGAAGUGAAGAUGGAGCUUUGUACUAACACUUCACCCUUCUACAAAGAUCUUUUCCUUUUGUAUUAAUUCUUUUUUGUUCAGGACGUAGCCUCUUACGCUUUGUGUAAGCCUCUUUUGGAUAUUUGAAAUUGAGUAUUAUGAUUAUUGUGUUUUUGUAUUGUUUAAUUUUAUUAUUGUUUUGGAAAUGGUAGCCU